GAUGAACGCUGGCGGCGUGCCUAAUACAUGCAAGUCGAGCGAACGGACGAGAAGCUUGCUUCUCUGAUGUUAGCGGCGGACGGGUGAGUAACACGUGGAUAACCUACCUAUAAGACUGGGAUAACUUCGGGAAACCGGAGCUAAUACCGGAUAAUAUUUUGAACCGCAUGGUUCAAAAGUGAAAGACGGUCUUGCUGUCACUUAUAGAUGGAUCCGCGCUGCAUUAGCUAGUUGGUAAGGUAACGGCUUACCAAGGCAACGAUGCAUAGCCGACCUGAGAGGGGGGACCGGCAAACCGGGAAUGAAGAACGGUCCCGGACCCUACGGGAGGCAGCAGUAGGGAAUCUUCCGCAAUGGGCGAAAGCCUGACGGAGCAACGCCGCGUGAGUGAUGAAGGUCUUCGGAUCGUAAAACUCUGUUAUUAGGGAAGAACAUAUGUGUAAGUAACUGUGCACAUCUUGACGGUACCUAAUCAGAAAGCCACGGCUAACUACGUG
RNAcentral lists this ribosomal RNA (497 nucleotides) under uncultured bacterium. RNAcentral describes it as "partial 16S ribosomal RNA". It matches the Rfam family "Bacterial small subunit ribosomal RNA", at positions 28 to 507 of the family's 1533-position model. The record is from RNAcentral.